This 473-nucleotide ribosomal RNA is filed under the name uncultured organism. RNAcentral describes it as "partial 16S ribosomal RNA". It matches the Rfam family "Bacterial small subunit ribosomal RNA", at positions 334 to 799 of the family's 1533-position model. The record is from RNAcentral.
CACUCCUGCGGGAGGCAGCAGUGGGGAAUAUCGCACAAUGGGCGCAAGCCUGAUGCAGCCAUGCCGCGUGUAUGAAGAAGGCCUUCGGGUUGUAAAGUACUUUCAGCGGGGAGGAAGGCGAUAAGGUUAAUAACCUUGUUGAUUGACGUUACCCGCAGAAGAAGCACCGGCUAACUCCGUGCCAGCAGCCGCGGUAAUACGGAGGGUGCAAGCGUUAAUCGGAAUUACUGGGCGUAAAGCGCACGCAGGCGGUCUGUCAAGUCGGAUGUGAAAUCCCCGGGCUCAACCUGGGAACUGCAUUCGAAACUGGCAGGCUAGAGUCUUGUAGAGUGGGGUAGAAUUCCAGGUGUAGCGGUGAAAUGCGUAGAGAUCUGGAGGAAUACCGGUGGCGAAGGCGGCCCCCUGGACAAAGACUGACGCUCAGGUGCGAAAGCGUGGGGAGCAAACAGGAUUAGAUACCCGGGUAGUCCCAG